GAUGAACGCUGGCGGCGUGCCUAAUACAUGCAAGUCGAGCGAACGGACGAGAAGCUUGCUUCUCUGAUGUUAGCGGCGGACGGGUGAGUAACACGUGGAUAACCUACCUAUAAGACUGGGAUAACUUCGGGAAACCGGAGCUAAUACCGGAUAAUAUUUUGAACCGCAUGGUUCAAAAGUGAAAGACGGUCUUGCUGUCACUUAUAGAUGGAUCCGCGCUGCAUUAGCUAGUUGGUAAGGUAACGGCUUACCAAGGCAACGAUGCAUAGCCGACCUGAGAGGGUGAUCGGCCACACUGGAACUGAGACACGGUCCAGACUCCUACGGGAGGCAGCAGUAGGGAAUCUUCCGCAACGGGCGAAAGCCUGACGGAGCAACGCCGCGUGAGUGAUGAAGGUCUUCGGAUCGUAAAACUCUGUUAUUAGGGAAGAACAUAUGUGUAAGUAACUGUGCACAUCUUGACGGUACCUAAUCAGAAAGCCACGGCUAACUACGUGCCAGCAGCCGCGGUAAUACGUAGGUGGCAAGCGUUAUCCGGAAUUAUUGGGCGUAAAGCGCGCGUAGGCGGUUUUUUAAGUCUGAUGUGAAAGCCCACGGCUCAACCGUGGAGGGUCAUUGGAAGCUGGAAAACUUGAGUGCAGAAGAGGAAAGUGGAAUUCCAUGUGUAGCGGUGAAAUGCGCAGAGAUAUGGAGGAACACCAGUGGCGAAGGCGACUUUCUGGUCUGUAACUGACGCUGAUGUGCGAAAGCGUGGGGAUCAAACAGGAUUAGAUACCCUGGUAGUCCACGCCGUAAACGAUGAGUGCUAAGUGUUAGGGGGUUUCCGCCCCUUAGUGCUGCAGCUAACGCAUUAAGCACUCCGCCUGGGGAGUACGACCGCAAGGUUGAAACUCAAAGGAAUUGACGGGGACCCGCACAAGCGGUGGAGCAUGUGGUUUAAUUCGAAGCAACGCGAAGAACCUUACCAAAUCUUGACAUCCUUUGACAACUCUAGAGAUAGAGCUUUCCCCUUCGGGGGACAAAGUGACAGGUGGUGCAUGGUUGUCGUCAGCUCGUGUCGUGAGAUAUUGGGUUAAGUCCCACAACGAGCGCAACCCUUAAGCUUAGUUGCCAUCAUUAAGUUGGGCACUCUAAGUUGACUGCCGGUGACAAACCGGAGGAAGGUGGGGAUGACGUCAAAUCAUCAUGCCCCUUAUGAUUUGGGCUACACACGUGCUACAAUGGACAAUACAAAGGGCAGCGAAACCGCGAGGUCAAGCAAAUCCCAUAAAGUUGUUCUCAGUUCGGAUUGUAGUCUGCAACUCGACUACAUGAAGCUGGAAUCGCUAGUAAUCGUAGAUCAGCAUGCUACGGUGAAUACGUUCCCGGGUCU
RNAcentral lists this ribosomal RNA (1372 nucleotides) under uncultured bacterium. RNAcentral describes it as "bacterial SSU rRNA". It matches the Rfam family "Bacterial small subunit ribosomal RNA", at positions 28 to 1381 of the family's 1533-position model. The record is from RNAcentral.